AGGGGCAUGGCCUUAGUAACGGCGAGUGAAGCGGCAAAAGCUCAAAUUUGAAAUCGGCCCCCAGGUCGCAGUUGUAAUUUGUAGAUUGUAUCUUGAGAGCGGAUUAAAGUCUGUUGGAACACAGCGCCUUAGAGGGUGACAGCCCCGUAAAAUCUAUUCUCAUUGUAAGAUACUUUCGAAGAGUCGAGUUGUUUGGGAAUGCAGCUCUAAGUGGGAGGUAAAUUCCUUCUAAAGCUAAAUAUUGACGAGAGACCGAUAGCGAACAAGUACUGUGAAGGAAACAUGAAAAGCACUUUGAAAAGAGAGUGACCAAGCACGCCCCCAUUGUUAAAAGGCAACCGUAUUGAAUCAAACUUG
RNAcentral lists this ribosomal RNA (357 nucleotides) under Geotrichum candidum. RNAcentral's name for it is "partial large subunit ribosomal RNA". It matches the Rfam family "Eukaryotic large subunit ribosomal RNA", at positions 68 to 437 of the family's 3401-position model. The record is from RNAcentral. Lineage: Eukaryota; Fungi; Ascomycota; Dipodascomycetes; Dipodascales; Dipodascaceae.